UGGGGAAUAUUGGACAAUGGGGGCAACCCUGAUCCAGCAAUGCCGCGUGUGUGAAGAAGGCCUGCGGGUUGUAAAGCACUUUUGGCAGGGAUGAAAAGCACUGGAUUAAUAACCCAGUGUGUUGACCUAACCUGCAGAAGAAGCACCGGCUAACUACGUGCCAGCAGCCGCGGUAAUACGUAGGGUGCGAGCGUUAAUCGGAAUUACUGGGCGUAAAGGGUGCGCAGGCGGUUAUGUAAGUCAGAUGUGAAAUCCCCGGGCUUAACCUGGGAAUUGCGUUUGAAACUACAUGACUAGAGUGUAACAGAGGGAAGUGGAAUUCCAUGUGUAGCAGUGAAAUGCGUAGAGAUAUGGAGGAACAUCGAUGGCGAAGGCAGCUUCCUGGGUUAACACUGACGCUCAUGCACGAAAGCGUGGGGAGCAAACAGGAUUAGAUACCCUAGUAGUCCCUGAGCGGGCUGGCAAGGCGCAU
This 472-nucleotide ribosomal RNA is filed under the name uncultured bacterium. RNAcentral describes it as "bacterial SSU rRNA". It matches the Rfam family "Bacterial small subunit ribosomal RNA", at positions 355 to 825 of the family's 1533-position model. The record is from RNAcentral.